Long non-coding RNA from Thunnus maccoyii (southern bluefin tuna), 2800 nucleotides. RefSeq lists it as uncharacterized. Lineage: Eukaryota; Metazoa; Chordata; Actinopteri; Scombriformes; Scombridae. The record is from RefSeq and is a predicted model, not a curated record. The transcript has 4 exons.
CGGAGAAGAUAGAUAAUCAAUACACUUGUAUGUUUGCACUGGUGCAUGUAGAUUUCUUUUGUUUAACGAUCUGUGAUGUUGGAAUGGAUUAAGAAAUACAUAUUUUGUCAGCCUGUUGCUGCUAGCUUAGCUAAAUUAGCUACUGAGUCACUCACUCGUCAUGGAGACUGCUCACUGGUCCGAAGACACAUUAUUCCGAAACCCCAAUAUAUGGAGAAUGUCCCAUUGGACCGAAUACCCAUAGUCUGACAACCUGUUGCUCCGAAAAAAACACUCUUUUGGAGCUCAGUGACUAUUAUGAGAUAAUUUCUCAUAAUAAUGACUUAGCAUCUCAAAAUGAUGAGAAACUAAGUAUAAUAUUUGCAUAGGACUAUUCCUCAUAUGCACCAAAGCAACAGAAGCAAGUGGGUAAGACGAAGCUUAGCAGACCCAAAUGGUUGUCAUCAUUGAAGACUACUUCAGAUGUGGAUUCACAAAUCGUGAAAUAUUAGUGGUUUUGGAGGAAUCACAUAAUAUCAAACUAAGCCUCUGGACCCUAGAGAGAAAGCUAGAAAAAAACCAGCUUUGGCGAAGAUGAAAUAAGACUGAUGAAGCUGAAGUGGCAUCCUUCAUUGAGCAACAGCUACAAACGUCCGGCAAACAGCAUGGUUACAGAUGGAUGCACCAGAAAUGUUGGAUGGCAGGGAUUAAGUCCAAUUUAUAAGAAAAAAACAAAAAAUGUUGGUAAAUACAGAUUCAUUAAAUUUGGUUUCAUAUUUGUUAGUUUGCAAAAAAUUCUUAAUAAAUAAGACCCUUAACAAUUCUUUAACUGACAGAAAAUAUGUAAUUAUGAGAAAUAGUAGUAGUGUCUCAAAAUAAUGAGAAACCUUCUCAAUAUUUUGACUUCGGCCUACCAUCAAGAAGUCACAUGCACUAGCUAGCUUUCUGUCAUUGAUAGGCAAGUGAUUUCGGAGUAACGUUACGGGUGUGGAGCAUGCUAGUGCUCUCGACAACAAACCUAGAUGUGAGCAUCUUGAAGAGUCUUUGUGAACAAGUCAGGCUUGGCUAUCACAGCCAAACAGGCCAUGAAGAAAUGAAAUAAUCUAAAGGAGAAAUACAAGGUUGGACAAGCCAAGCCAGAGAUGCCUGUGUCCGCCCUGCACUGCAUACAUGGAGCGGCUGCUGUUAAUGGUGAACGCCUGCAGCAUACAAAGAGGAGCUGCCACUGUGGUCUGGACCUCAACAGUUUCCCCCGCCAUCAAUUCAGUCCACUGGUGGGUCAGUCGGUCCAGUGUUGGCAGGUGUUUACUGGUCACGGGAUGAGUCCACCCGCAGCCUGUGGGAUGACCAUAUGGGACAUGAAAUCCUCCAGGCCAACAUGUCCCACUGUCAAUUCCAAUUUAUCAACUCCAAGUUGUGCUUUGAUGACCGGCUUUCACAGGCUUGCAUGCCAGAGAGACAACAAACUUGCUGCCCUUUCACCGCUGUGGGUGGAACAACUUCCUCUUCUCUUCAACUCGGGCCAGGAUAUUUGUGUGAAUGAACAGCUGGUGCAGUUCAAAGGUCACUGCAAAUUCCAACAAUACACGCCAAACAAACCGGGGAAGUACGGGAUCAAGAUUUGAUGUCUGCACAUCAUAUGCCUGAAAUAUGCAGGUUUACAGCGGGGAAAAAAAAGACAGAUGUCCGGUGGAGUUGAACCAGGGGAGGAGAGUUGUUUUGGAGCUGACAGACAGUGACAUGUGAUAACUUCUUUACAUCUUAUGCACUGGUGGAAGAGCUCCACACGCUUAGUGAAUAUAUGUGCUUGUUGUCAGCACCUACAGCUGCAAGAGAAGGACCUGUAUGUGGCCACUGGCCCUGUUCUCCUGGACGUCUCUGCAUUCAACUCAUUCAUGUUGUGUGGAUGGCUGUGGAUCCCUCCUGGCACCAGGGCAACUUACAAAUGCCAACUUUUCUUGCAGGAGCUGGGAAGAAUGCUGGUGCAACAUCGGCAGCGGCUCCCCUGCACACCAAGCUCCGCUGCCAUGGUGGCAGAAGCAAGGAGAAGACAGCGGGGGACCCAGACAGCUCCCCAACCCCCCCAAAAUGAGGAGAUGGUGCGUGUUUUGCACCAACCAUAGGAAGAAGAUUGCCAACACCUGUUGCAAGUGAGGCAAGUAUAUUUGCCAAGCUCACACAUCUCACUACUGCAGCUCCUCCUGUAUUUAUGCUGUGUUUCUAGAACAAAAUGAGGUAAUAUGCUCUUAGAAAGUAAAAGCUUUGAAGGGUAAUAGGACACUUUAGGUGCACUACAGGUUAACAGGUCAGAUUCUUUACUUUAAUCUUAUACUGCAUUAAAAAUAAUAAUGCACAAAUAUCAAUGUUGUUGCUAAACAUUGACAUAUCCCAGACUGUAAUAUGUUUUUUUUUUUUUUUAAAUCCCCUCUUGCCUUUAGUAUGUUGAAAAUAUUUCAAUUUUUGUGUUUUUUCUCUUACAAAAUUUAGUGGUAUCAUCACAAAAACUGGCAUUUAAAGAGUUAAAAUGAGUCAAUAUUUGGUAGUUAUGAUCAGGACUGAAGUUGGUUACAAAAAAAUGAACUCAGUCAAAGUGGAAAAAAAAUUCCUCUCCACAGGCUAUUUGGACUCUUCGGGAGAGAUGAGCCACUAGGUCCCCUGUUACUCACCCUUCCCAUUUAGUGAUGUAGAGGGACAGCUGUAGGACCUGUAGUCCAUUCUGCUUAGGGAAUUUUACCCAUCCUAUUCAGUCAGUUGUUUACCGGAUGUAAUGAAGUUUAAUUAUAUAAUGGUGUGAUUCUUGUAACUUUGUGCAACAUUAACC